UAGGAUGAACGCUAGCUACAGGCUUAACACAUGCAAGUCGAGGGGCAGCAUUUCAGUUUGCUUGCAAACUGGAGAUGGCGACCGGCGCACGGGUGAGUAACACGUAUCCAACCUGCCGAUAACUCGGGGAUAGCCUUUCGAAAGAAAGAUUAAUACCCGAUGGCAUAAUUAGACCGCAUGGUCUUAUUAUUAAAGAAUUUCGGUUAUCGAUGGGGAUGCGUUCCAUUAGGCAGUUGGUGAGGUAACGGCUCACCAAACCUUCGAUGGAUAGGGGUUCUGAGAGGAAGGUCCCCCACAUUGGAACUGAGACACGGUCCAAACUCCUACGGGAGGCAGCAGUGAGGAAUAUUGGUCAAUGGGCGCAGGCCUGAACCAGCCAAGUAGCGUGAAGGAUGACUGCCCUAUGGGUUGUAAACUUCUUUUAUAUGGGAAUAAAGUUUUCCACGUGUGGAAUUUUGUAUGUACCAUAUGAAUAAGGAUCGGCUAACUCCGUGCCAGCAGCCGCGGUAAUACGGAGGAUCCGAGCGUUAUCCGGAUUUAUUGGGUUUAAAGGGAGCGUAGGUGGACAGUUAAGUCAGUUGUGAAAGUUUGCGGCUCAACCGUAAAAUUGCAGUUGAUACUGGCUGUCUUGAGUACAGUAGAGGUGGGCGGAAUUCGUGGUGUAGCGGUGAAAUGCUUAGAUAUCACGAAGAACUCCGAUUGCGAAGGCAGCUCACUGGACUGCAACUGACACUGAUGCUCGAAAGUGUGGGUAUCAAACAGGAUUAGAUACCCUGGUAGUCCACACAGUAAACGAUGAAUACUCGCUGUUUGCGAUAUACAGUAAGCGGCCAAGCGAAAGCAUUAAGUAUUCCACCUGGGGAGUACGCCGGCAACGGUGAAACUCAAAGGAAUUGACGGGGGCCCGCACAAGCGGAGGAACAUGUGGUUUAAUUCGAUGAUACGCGAGGAACCUUACCCGGGCUUAAAUUGCAUUUGAAUAAUCUGGAAACAGGUUAGCCGCAAGGCAAAUGUGAAGGUGCUGCAUGGUUGUCGUCAGCUCGUGCCGUGAGGUGUCGGCUUAAGUGCCAUAACGAGCGCAACCCUUAUCUUUAGUUACUAACAGGUCAUGCUGAGGACUCUAGAGAGACUGCCGUCGUAAGAUGUGAGGAAGGUGGGGAUGACGUCAAAUCAGCACGGCCCUUACGUCCGGGGCUACACACGUGUUACAAUGGGGGGUACAGAAGGCAGCUACCUGGUGACAGGAUGCUAAUCCCAAAAGCCUCUCUCAGUUCGGAUCGAAGUCUGCAACCCGACUUCGUGAAGCUGGAUUCGCUAGUAAUCGCGCAUCAGCCAUGGCGCGGUGAAUACGUUCCCGGGCCUUGUACACACCGCCCGUCAAGCCAUGAAAGCCGGGGGUACCUGAAGUACGUAACCGCAAGGAGCGUCCUAGGGUAAAAC
RNAcentral lists this ribosomal RNA (1440 nucleotides) under uncultured organism. Its description in RNAcentral is "SSU rRNA". It matches the Rfam family "Bacterial small subunit ribosomal RNA". The record is from RNAcentral.